UGAGGAAUAUUGGUCAAUGGGCGCAAGCCUGAACCAGCCAUCCCGCGUGAAGGAAGAAGGCCCUAUGGGUUGUAAACUUCUUUUCCAGGGGGUGAAUAAUUCCGAUGUAUCGGGAGAUGACGGUACCCUGGGAAUAAGCAUCGGCUAACUCCGUGCCAGCAGCCGCGGUAAUACGGAGGAUGCGAGCGUUAUCCGGAUUUAUUGGGUUUAAAGGGUGCGUAGGCGGAACAAUAAGUCAGUGGUGAAAGACUGCAGCUUAACUGUAGACUUGCCGUUGAUACUGUUGAUCUUGAGUAUGGUCAAGGCAGGCGGAAUGUGUAAUGUAGCGGUGAAAUGCUUAGAUAUUACACAGAACACCGAUUGCGAAGGCAGCUUGCUGGGCCAUUACUGACGCUGAUGCACGAAAGCGUGGGGAUCGAACAGG
RNAcentral lists this ribosomal RNA (424 nucleotides) under uncultured Bacteroidales bacterium. RNAcentral's name for it is "bacterial SSU rRNA". It matches the Rfam family "Bacterial small subunit ribosomal RNA", at positions 355 to 776 of the family's 1533-position model. The record is from RNAcentral. Lineage: Bacteria; Pseudomonadati; Bacteroidota; Bacteroidia; Bacteroidales.